UCGGCCCAGUUCUCUCCGGAGCCCACGAAUACGCCUCUCCUCUGUUUCCUCUCGUUGCUAGGUUCCCAUCAGGGAAGAAAUCGCGCCGCCGUCUCCCCCGCGACCGAUCCAGUCCGCCGCCGCCGGCCCCGCUCCCUCUUCCCCUCCUCGACCGAGCUCUAGUCCUCCGCCUCCGGCCCCGCUCCUGCUCUCUCCGGUCUCCGGACGUCGCCCCUGCUCUCGCCGGCCGCCGGACGACGCCCUGCUUCCGCUCCGUCCACCUCGAGCCAGCACCUCAACCGAGCUCGACCUCGUUGUGUGGAUAUGUGCAUCUAAUAGAUGUGGAGGGGAAUGUCAAGUCCGUACCAAGAUGGGAGAGUGGCAAAUGCGAGUGCAAAAUAGACGGAUGAUCCAUUGAGUCAUGGUCAUUGCAGAUGGGACCAUACCUGGUGGGGAAAAACUUUUGUUGCAGCAGAAAUAUGAUGGAUAUUUCAACUAAAGAACAAGAAGACGAGGAAUUUGAAUCGGUCAUGCUAGCAUUAGCUUUGGAUGUGAUGUUGUCAGAGGAGAGACCGACGUAUGCACAAAGAAAAUUACACCUUUCGCCAGGUCCCGAAGAAAAAGAGACCGUUGGUUUGACAAAAUUACACCUUGUGUCAGGCCUCCAAGAAAAACAGAUCGUCAGCUCAAACAGACAUGAGAUACAUGACAUGAUGGCCAUGCUCAUUGCAGAUGGAGCCAUACCUGGUACUGAUGAGCAUUUCUAUGCUUCACAACUUUUGUUGGAGCAGAAAUAUCGUGAUGUUUUCUCUUCAUUCAAGGGUUUUUCUCCUAGUGUGAGGCUUGGAUGGAUUAAGAGGACAUGGGAGCUCAACAAUUUUUAGAAUCUAAGAUGUUUUAAAUCCUUUAAACCAAACUAUUUGCUAUCUAUCGUGUUAACCUCAUAUGUGCUAUGAUCUUGUACCAUUGUGAACUAAGUUUAUUUGGUAUAUGUUGUA
This is a long non-coding RNA of Triticum dicoccoides, 977 nucleotides long. RefSeq lists it as uncharacterized. Lineage: Eukaryota; Viridiplantae; Streptophyta; Magnoliopsida; Poales; Poaceae. The record is from RefSeq and is a predicted model, not a curated record. The transcript is spliced from 3 exons.